This 599-nucleotide long non-coding RNA is filed under the name Heterocephalus glaber (naked mole-rat). RNAcentral describes it as "lncRNA (ENSHGLG00100048120.1)". Lineage: Eukaryota; Metazoa; Chordata; Mammalia; Rodentia; Bathyergidae. The record is from RNAcentral.
AUUUUUUCAGUUUAUUCUAGUUCUCUAAAUUAUUUGUCCUCUCCUCUCUCUCCUUCUUGGGCUCUAUAAAUAUGAAUAUCAGACUUUUUUUAUUGUUGCACAAGUCUCAAAGUGUCACCGUUUCCCUACAUUUUCCCUCUGUUUCUCAGGUUGCAUACUUCCAUUUCACAGACUAUCUUCUGCCGGAGAACCCAUUUACUCAGUUUUCUUCAUUCAAUUUGAGAUCAUCCUGGUUAUGGAAUUGCUAGAGAUUUUUCACUGGAACCUACACAUUUUCUUAUUAUGUUCUGAGAAUACAUGCCAGAAACGUGGGCUCCUCAUUUCAUAAGAAGUUAAUCUUCAAAGUACAUAAGAAACUCCAACAACUCAAUAAUAAGAAAAUAAACAACCUGAUUAAAAAAUGGGCAAAGGACCUGACCAGAUAUUUCUCAAGAAAAGAUAUACAAGUGACUAGCAGUGUGAAAGUGACAAGGAUCCAGUAGAGACUGUAUUUCGAAGUUUGAAUUUUGAUCUUUCCUGGUUGGUGGUAUGUAGUAUUGUCCUUCUUUACAGUGCUGGGCAGUGGCAGCCAGCUGGAGCUCCUAGUCAGUGGCAUGAGG